CCUACGGGUGGCUGCAGUGGGGAAUCUUGCGCAAUGCGCGAAAGCGUGACGCAGCAACGCCGCGUGGGGAAGAAGGCCUUCGGGUUGUAAACCCCUUUCAGUUGGGACGAAGCUUCGACGGUGAAUAGCCGUCUGGAGUGACGGUACCUUCAGAAGAAGCCCCGGCUAACUACGUGCCAGCAGCCGCGGUAAUACGUAGGGGGCUAGCGUUGUCCGGAAUCAUUGGGCGUAAAGCGCGUGUAGGCGGCCCGGUAAGUCCGCUGUGAAAGUCGGGGGCUCAACCCUCGAAUGCCGGUGGAUACUGUCGGGCUAGAGUACGGAAGAGGCGAGUGGAAUUCCUGGUGUAGCGGUGAAAUGCGCAGAUAUCAGGAGGAACACCAAUUGCGAAGGCAGCUCGCUGGGACGUCACUGACGCUGAGACGCGAAAGCGUGGGGGGCAAACAGGAUUAGAUACCCUUGUAGUC
Molecule: ribosomal RNA, 464 nt
Filed under: uncultured Solirubrobacter sp.
Lineage: Bacteria; Bacillati; Actinomycetota; Thermoleophilia; Solirubrobacterales; Solirubrobacteraceae
Description: bacterial SSU rRNA
Rfam family: Bacterial small subunit ribosomal RNA
Source: RNAcentral